This 68-nucleotide transfer RNA is filed under the name Marmota monax (woodchuck). RNAcentral's name for it is "tRNA.Ala". The stretch from base 5 to 65 matches the Rfam family "tRNA", at positions 6 to 65 of the family's 71-position model. Rfam says of the family: Transfer RNA (tRNA) molecules are approximately 80 nucleotides in length. Their secondary structure includes four short double-helical elements and three loops (D, anti-codon, and T loops). The record is from RNAcentral. Lineage: Eukaryota; Metazoa; Chordata; Mammalia; Rodentia; Sciuridae.
GGUUUGUGGCUCAGUGGUAGAGUGCUUGUCUAGCAUGCAUGAGGCACUGGGUUCGAUCCUCAGCACCA